UUAUAUGUGACGGUGUCGUAUCGGUGUUGGACACGACACGUGUCCGACACUGGGACACAUGUCGUGUCUGACAC
This 74-nucleotide microRNA precursor is filed under the name Medicago truncatula (barrel medic). Its description in RNAcentral is "miR2586b stem-loop (mtr-MIR2586b)". The record is from miRBase by way of RNAcentral. Lineage: Eukaryota; Viridiplantae; Streptophyta; Magnoliopsida; Fabales; Fabaceae.